AGAACAUCUUAUAUAAAAAAUGGUGUUUUCAGAUUAUAUGUUAAAGAAAAUAGCGUAAAAAAAGGAGAUGAAAUGUUUCAUAUGAUGAAUGAAAACGAUUGGAAUAUUUUAUAUAAACAGAUACAAGUGCAUACAAGUUUACCUACUGGUGACUAUUAUGUGUUUAUACAAGCUUUUCAAUGUACUAACAAUCAGUUUAACACAGACGACGACGAAGUUAUAAAUACAAAUAGUGUAUCUAGCUCAAUUAAACAAAAAAAAAUAAAAUUAAUAGACGCACAUAAUAUAGAACAACAAAAUGAAAAAAAAACAAUAGUUCAUAAUAUGGAUACUGCAGCACCAGGAUUUACAAAUCACAAUACUGGGAUUACAUUACAUAAAGAAAUUGUAAAUCCAGUGAUGGAAAAUGGUACUACAAUACAAGAUACUGAUUUAGAAAGCGACAAUGAAAAUGACUUGUCAGUUGAAUCUUUUAUAGUGAAAGAUAAGUUAGCUAAUAACAAGCUGGAAUCAACUGAUAUGGUGAAAUUGAAAGAACCAAUACAAAAAUAUUUUACCAAUCUUAUGCAUUCGAAAGUGCACAUCCGAGAAAUAAACUCUAGAUUUGUAGAACUAGAUAGGGAAACAUACGAUGUGGAAUACUUGUAUAUGACUAGUUUGUUGGAUAGUGGAAAAUAUACUAUACAAAUAAGAGGAGACGAAUACAAAGGACAGUGUGGUAGUGGUAAAUGUAUUUUAGAAGAGUGGUUUUUAAAAGACUUGAUAAACAACGAAAAUAUAAAUGAUGGUGACUACGAAAUGAGUAUAGUAAAAAGUGUAUAUAUAUUUGAUAAUAAAGAACAAAAAAAUAAAUCAUCGCUAGGUACUGCACAUGACAUAGACGAUACAUACGAUAUCAGUAUGUAUUGUGGUGUACAACUACAAAAAGAUGAAAAAUUAAAUGUAUACAAGCUAAUUGAAUUUCCUAUUAGUGCUUGCAACAUAACGGAAGGAUUAUACAAAGUAAGUAUUAUAAGUAAUGAAUUUAGUGUACAGAGAGAGGGUAAGAAAUAUGAAGAUUGUAAUAAUAUUCUCAAAGGAUGUAUUUACAAUGCAUAUGAAAUUAACUCAUCAGGUAUAUAUGCAUACAAUAUAAGCGUUAUGAAAAGAAAAAAUAUAACUCAAAGAGGAUAUUUUAUUACAGAGAAACAUGAUAAUAAAAUUUUACAUGAUUAUUAUGCAGAUAUAUAUAAGAUAGUAUCAUAUAACACAAUGAAAUUUUAUGAAGGUGUAGAACAAGUACAUUUUGUAGGUCAACAUGACAUGGAAUAUACAAAAUAUUUAAUAAUUAUAAUGAAUGGGGAAUAUAAAGUAAAGGUAUUGAACAAUAAUAAUAAAAUAGAACAAAAAGAUAAUAAUACUGCUGUUAGUUUUUUCAAAAAUAUGUUUCAAUUGUUGCAAAAAAAACAUAUUAAUGGCAUCUAUAUAGUAGAUUUGAAUGAGCAUAAAACGUCUUUUAACAGUAAUGUAUUAACAACAUUAAAAAAA
RNAcentral lists this long non-coding RNA (1527 nucleotides) under Piliocolobus tephrosceles (Ugandan red Colobus). RNAcentral describes it as "lncRNA (ENSPTEG00000025083.1)". Lineage: Eukaryota; Metazoa; Chordata; Mammalia; Primates; Cercopithecidae. The record is from RNAcentral.